CGAAGAUGAUUAAGAGUAUUCGAGUGGACUGCGAUUCGAUUCCUAAUUCGCUCAAUUUCGGAUGCAAUUACCAUGUCAACGCGGUUGGCUUAUCGAUCACUUCGAUUCGAUCACAUUCGACGAAUGGUGCUUAUACGAUGAUUCAUGAUUUAUCGAUCAAGAGUAUUAUAGCUUUGUAUUGAUCAAUGAAAAAUUCUCAAUAUCGAGCAACCUAUCAAAGGAAAUCGUGUGUUACUGGUUGGUUACAUGGAACAUAUUUGCUGAAAUUUGUCCUGGUUACUGGCAAAUGCAUCGCUUGUUAUCCUAUUAUCUGGAUUAUGGUGCGUUAUGUGGAGAUCUGACGAGGAAAUCGAGAACGGGAACGAGAACGAGAACGAGAACGAGAAUGAGAACGAGCUGAAGCUAGCAAGAGCUUUUCCUCUCAUUUUCACCAAGGAUGCGGCUAUAAUUCAUGAAGUGGUGCUAAUUCCUUGGCAACCACCGUCGCACCGUCUCGUCAAGAGGCUUUGCGCGUCGAAACAGCUUCCCAUUUCACAGCGGAGUUAGGAAAUGUAUUGUUUUCUCGAAAGAGUAUCCCACCGAGACCAAAAUGGCGUAGACUGUACCAACCAUCUAGGAUCCACGAACGUCGGAAUAGUGGCAAGCAACCUAACGUCCCUCGUGUCUUUGUUUGAGUGCUUAAGAGAGAAGAAAAUCCCCGAUUGGUAUUUCAA
Molecule: long non-coding RNA, 713 nt
Organism: Vespa mandarinia (Asian giant hornet)
Lineage: Eukaryota; Metazoa; Arthropoda; Insecta; Hymenoptera; Vespidae
Source: RefSeq, a predicted model, not a curated record